UACGUAGGGUGCAAGCGUUGUUCGGAAUUACUGGGCGUAAAGGGCGCGUAGGCGGGCCCGUAUGUCGAUUGUGAAAUCCCUGGGCUUAACCCGGGAAUGGCAGUCGAAACUGCGGGUCUUGAAUGCUUGAGAGGAUGGCGGAAUUCCCGGUGUAGAAGUGAAAUUCGUAGAUAUCGGGAGGAACACCUGAGGCGAAGGCGGCUAUCUGGCGAUGCAUUGACGCUGAGGCGCGAAAGCGUGGGGAGCAAACAGG
Molecule: ribosomal RNA, 253 nt
Filed under: uncultured bacterium
Lineage: Bacteria
Description: partial 16S ribosomal RNA
Rfam family: Bacterial small subunit ribosomal RNA
Source: RNAcentral